Molecule: non-coding RNA, 23 nt
Filed under: Arabidopsis thaliana (thale cress)
Lineage: Eukaryota; Viridiplantae; Streptophyta; Magnoliopsida; Brassicales; Brassicaceae
Source: RNAcentral
ACGGUGAUCGAACCGCAUUGUGC